GAUUUCCUGAGAUGUGCGUAGAGCUUAUGAUAUUCAACCUACAUGAUAUUAUCGGGAUUUGCAGUUAAUUCAUAAAUGUCAGGCUUCAUUUAAUCACAUGUUGUGACAGUAGAAGGCAGAAGUGAAUUGAGCUUAACCCACCUGCGAGGCGCAGGAUUUGAAUAUAUGGGCAAGCGGCAUGUUGGGAACUAU
RNAcentral lists this non-coding RNA (192 nucleotides) under Clostridium sp. DL-VIII. RNAcentral describes it as "6S / SsrS RNA". It matches the Rfam family "6S / SsrS RNA". From Rfam's summary of the family: E. coli 6S RNA was the first non coding RNA to be sequenced, but its function was unknown until recently. It consists of 184 nucleotides that fold into an extended hairpin structure with a large single-stranded internal bulge. Lineage: Bacteria; Bacillati; Bacillota; Clostridia; Eubacteriales; Clostridiaceae. The record is from Rfam by way of RNAcentral.